This 253-nucleotide ribosomal RNA is filed under the name uncultured bacterium. Its description in RNAcentral is "partial 16S ribosomal RNA". It matches the Rfam family "Bacterial small subunit ribosomal RNA", at positions 524 to 776 of the family's 1533-position model. The record is from RNAcentral.
UACGUAGGGGGCAAGCGUUAUCCGGAUUUACUGGGUGUAAAGGGAGCGCAGACGGCAGUGCAAGUCUGGAGUGAAAGCCCGGGGCCCAACCCCGGGACUGCUCUGGAAACUGUACGGCUAGAGUACGGGAGGGGCAGGCGGAAUUCCUAGUGUAGCGGUGAAAUGCGUAGAUAUUAGGAGGAACACCGGCGGCGAAGGCGGCCUGCUGGACCGAAACUGACGUUGAGGCUCGAAAGCGUGGGUAGCAAACAGG